GAUGAACGCUGGCGGCGUGCCUAAUACAUGCAAGUCGAGCGAACGGACGAGAAGCUUGCUUCUCUGAUGUUAGCGGCGGACGGGUGAGUAACACGUGGAUAACCUACCUAUAAGACUGGGAUAACUUCGGGAAACCGGAGCUAAUACCGGAUAAUAUUUUGAACCGCAUGGUUCAAAAGUAAAAGACGGUCUUGCUGUCACUUAUAGAUGGAUCCGCGCUGCAUUAGCUAGUUGGUAAGGUAACGGCUUACCAAGGCAACGAUGCAUAGCCGACCUGAGAGGGUGAUCGGCCACACUGGAACUGAGACACGGUCCAGACUCCUACGGGAGGCAGCAGUAGGGAAUCUUCCGCAAUGGGCGAAAGCCUGACGGAGCAACGCCGCGUGAGUGAUGAAGGUCUUCGGAUCGUAAAACUCUGUUAUUAGGGAAGAACAUAUGUGUAAGUAACUGUGCACAUCUUGACGGUACCUAAUCAGAAAGCCACGGCUAACUACGCG
This 497-nucleotide ribosomal RNA is filed under the name uncultured bacterium. RNAcentral describes it as "partial 16S ribosomal RNA". It matches the Rfam family "Bacterial small subunit ribosomal RNA", at positions 28 to 507 of the family's 1533-position model. The record is from RNAcentral.